AAUGAAAAAAUACAUAAUACAGCUUGACCUGUGAAGUUUUAAAGUCAUAUCCACGAUGGAUAAUCUUUGACCUGGUUACUUAUGUUUUCCAUGCAACCAAGCAGAAAGUCAAAGCUCACAAAUUUCUCCAAAUCCAUCUACCGCCUGAGGCUACUAAAUAUCACCAAGAAUAUGAAACGAGAAGAAGAUAACAUAUUCUUAGCCUCCAAUGAAUCUGC
Molecule: unclassified non-coding RNA, 218 nt
Filed under: Hevea brasiliensis (rubber tree)
Lineage: Eukaryota; Viridiplantae; Streptophyta; Magnoliopsida; Malpighiales; Euphorbiaceae
Source: RNAcentral